ACGGGUGAGUAACACGUGAGCAACCUGCCCUGGACUCUGGGAUAAGCGCUGGAAACGGCGUCUAAUACUGGAUAUGAGCCCCUAUCGCAUGGUGGGGGUUGGAAAGAUUUUUUGGUCUGGGAUGGGCUCGCGGCCUAUCAGCUUGUUGGUGAGGUAAUGGCUCACCAAGGCGUCGACGGGUAGCCGGCCUGAGAGGGUGACCGGCCACACUGGGACUGAGACACGGCCCAGACUCCUACGGGAGGCAGCAGUGGGGAAUAUUGCACAAUGGGCGAAAGCCUGAUGCAGCAACGCCGCGUGAGGGAUGACGGCCUUCGGGUUGUAAACCUCUUUUAGCAGGGAAGAAGCGAAAGUGACGGUACCUGCAGAAAAAGCGCCGGCUAACUACGUGCCAGCAGCCGCGGUAAUACGUAGGGCGCAAGCGUUAUCCGGAAUUAUUGGGCGUAAAGAGCUCGUAGCGGUUUGUCGCGUCUGCUGUGAAAUCCCGAGGCUCAACCUCGGGCCUGCAGUGGGUACGGGCAGACUAGAGUGCGGUAGGG
This 539-nucleotide ribosomal RNA is filed under the name Microbacteriaceae bacterium LDB-B001. Its description in RNAcentral is "bacterial SSU rRNA". It matches the Rfam family "Bacterial small subunit ribosomal RNA", at positions 102 to 656 of the family's 1533-position model. Lineage: Bacteria; Bacillati; Actinomycetota; Actinomycetes; Micrococcales; Microbacteriaceae. The record is from RNAcentral.